This 253-nucleotide ribosomal RNA is filed under the name uncultured bacterium. Its description in RNAcentral is "partial 16S ribosomal RNA". It matches the Rfam family "Bacterial small subunit ribosomal RNA", at positions 524 to 776 of the family's 1533-position model. The record is from RNAcentral.
UACGUAGGGGGCUAGCGUUGUCCGGAUUUAUUGGGCGUAAAGAGCGUGUAGGCGGCCAGAUAGGUCUGCUGUGAAAACUCGAGGCUCAACCUCGAGAUGUCGGCGGAAACCAUUUGGCUAGAGUCCGGAAGAGGAAAGUGGAAUUCCUGGUGUAGCGGUGAAAUGCGCAGAUAUCAGGAAGAACACCAAUGGCGAAGGCAGCUCGCUGGGACGUGACUGACGCUGAGACGCGAAAGCGUGGGGAGCAAACAGG